This 1241-nucleotide long non-coding RNA is filed under the name Mytilus galloprovincialis (Mediterranean mussel). Lineage: Eukaryota; Metazoa; Mollusca; Bivalvia; Mytilida; Mytilidae. The record is from RNAcentral.
GGCCCAUAAUCAAAUAUCUAAGCACAUGUUUAGAUUCAGCAUAUCAAAGAAGCCCAAGAAUUCAAUUUUUGUUAAAAUCAAGCUAAGUUUAAUUUUAGACCCUUUGGACCUUUAUGUUGACCAAUUUGAAAACGAGACCAAAACUUAAGAAUCUACAUACACAGUUAGAAUCGGCAUAUCAAAGAACCCCAAUUAUUCAAUUUUUGAUGAAAUCAAACAAAGUUUAAUUUUGGACCCCAAUUUGGACCAACUUGAAACUGGGCCAAUAAUCAAAAAUCUAAGUACAUUUUUAGAUUCAGCAUAUCAAGGAACCCCAAGGAUUCAAUUUUUGUCAAAAUCAAACAAAGUUUAAUUUUGGACCCUUUGGACCUUAAUGUAGACCAAUUUGAAAACUGGACCAACAAUUUUAUGGUCAUAAACCUUGUGUUUAAAUUUCAUAGAUUCCUAUUUACUUAUACUAAAGUUAUGGUGCAAAAACCAAGAAAAAUGCUUAUUUGGGCCCCUUUUUGGCCCCUAAUUCCUAAACUGUUCGGACCUCAACUCCCAAAAUCAAUCCCAACCUUCCUUUUGUGGUCAUAAACCUUGUGUUUAAAUUUCUUUGAUUUCUAUUUACUUUUACUAAAGUUAUUGUGCGAAAACCAAGAAUAAUGCUUAUUUGGGCCCUUUUUUGGCCCCUAAUUCCUAAACUGUUGGAACCAAAACUCCCAAAACCAAUCCCAACCUUCCUUUUGUGGUCAUAAACCUUGUGUCAAAAUUUCAUAAAUUUCUAUUCACUUAAACUAAAGUUAUAGUGCGAAAACCAAGAAAAUGCUUAUUUGGGCCCUUUUUGGCCCCUAAUUCCUAAAAUGUUGGGAUCAAAACUCCCAAAACCAAUCCCAACCUUCCUUUUGUGGUCAUAAACCUUGAGUUAAAAUUUCAUAGAUUUCUAUUCACUUUUACUAAAGUUAGAGUGCGAAAACUAAAAGUAUUCGGACGACGACGACGCAGGACGACGACGACGACGCCAACGUGAUAGCAAUAUACGACGAAAAAUUAAAAUUUUUGCGGUCGUAUAAAAAUCAAGAGGAAACCUUUGUAAGGGCAGAUAACUCUUUAAAUCAGAAAAACUACGGUUUUAAAGCAAUUAACAUAUUUAAUACCAAUUUUCCUGCAUCUGAUACACAAUGAAUGUCUCUUAAGUGAUGUUUGAGGCCAAUUUUUUUUUAAUUCAAAUCAAUACAAAGGUAAAAGAGCUGAUCAAA